Molecule: long non-coding RNA, 27343 nt
Filed under: Linum usitatissimum (flax)
Lineage: Eukaryota; Viridiplantae; Streptophyta; Magnoliopsida; Malpighiales; Linaceae
Description: long non-coding RNA (LUSI_LNC008304)
Source: RNAcentral
UUUUUUUUUUUGGUUUGGGAGGGUGAUUGAUGGAGUAGGUUUGGAAUUCAUGCCAAUUUUAGGAUUUUUUAGACGAUUCUGAAUCGUUAGAUUUUACUGAUGUUAGACCUAACAGUCCGUAUAAAAAGGAUACAAAAGUAUUUUCAAUGUUUAUUUUAUUAUUAUUAUAAAAGUACACUGUCAUCUCAUUGUCGACGUUGACCGGUGACUUUGCCGGCAAGACUCCGGUCAUCGACCGGUGACGUUUCGGUGAGGCCCCUGUCACAGCCAAAUGAUUUUCCGGCAAACUCCAGUCACCGUUCAAUCACUUUUCUGGCGAGUCUCCUACGACUUUUCCGCUGUAAAUUUAUAGCCGGUUAUAUUUUUUUAAUACUACUUGUAAUUACGUUUUAAAAAAAUAUAAUUGAUUAUAAUCUCUACUUAUAACUAGUUAAUAUAUAAUCGAUUAUAAUCUCUAUUUAUAAUUAGUUAAUAUAUAACUGGUUAUAAAAAAAUAUAAUUAGUUAUAAAAAAUGAUUAAUUAUAAUUAUGACUGAUUAUAAUCAAUACUCGAAUAACUUGGUUGCAAGUAAUUUUCUACAACGAUUGAUCUUGGGUGAAAAUCUUUAAAUCGAUCUCCUACAACGAUUCGCCAGAAUCAGUAUCCCUUUCGUCACAAAUUCUGAAAAUUCUAAAACUCAUCUGCUUGGGUUUAAGUGAUUGAUGAACUCAAUUAAACCACAAGACAAAAAUAAAGAAGAAAAAUGAUUUUAAUAAGAAAAAAAAAAGAAAAGAAAAAAGUGAAGGGUUCUGAGAAAGAUUUGACGUGUUGACAAGAAGCAACAUUGCUGGAGUAGUAUUAAUGUAUUAUUAUUAUUAUUAUUAGGGGUUCCCUUCUUUAAGCCAAACUCCAGAUAUAUAUACCACUGGGCCCCACUCCUCCCCCCUCUCUUUUCCUCGACCAGUCAAUCAACCUAUAUUUUUAUUUUAUUUUUAUUCUACAUAUUUAUUCUUGACAUGACUUGACCCGGCCGGCUCGAUCGUAAUUUUACUUUGAAUUAUUCGGUCUAUUGAUUUGGUCUGUAAAAAAAAUCAUCUCGUCUGUUGUUACUGAAUCAGUAAAGUUUAUAAAUAGCAUUCGAAUAAUCUAUAUGAGGAUGGUUGUUCAUGAUGAGACCACGCAGGUGCUAGAUACCUUCGAGGAAAUGCGGUUGUGGAAAGACAUGAAAUAUGGGUGCAUGAUAUGUGGUAUGACUUAUGAGCGAGUAAUCUUUGAUCACAAUUGUCAAUGAAUCGAAUUCACUCAAUUGUUUGAUGUGUGUAUCCUUGAGUAGACUUUUUUUUAGGUUUGCAGAUGUUGAGACGUGGUGGCUCACGAGCUUGCUGAUCGAUCAGAAUGUGUAGUAGCUCUUAUUUUUCGAGAUACAUUUCCGGAUUGGUGUGAAGUUUAUGUAUCAUUUGGAUGAUUUUUCUUGUAAAUUGGAUAUUUUGAAGCAGAAUUAUGCAUUAUCUGGAAAUGUAGUAUUCUUGAGGUACACAACAUUUGAAGAGUAAAAAUUAUCUUGUUUGACUAACGCAAAACAUUGAGUUAUGCGCUUUGAAUUGAGUUAUUUCAAAUAUCAUCCUCAUGCCCAAAUAUUUAAAAUAACUAGAUUCGAAUUAUUUCAAAUACCAUAAUUUAAAAUAUCAUAAUUUUAAUUUUGCAUAACAAACAAAAUAAUUAUUAAAAUCAAAAUACAUCAUUCAAAUAUCUCGUAUUCAAACUCCUCAUUGUUUUGUCUAUAUUUGAAACAUGACAAUAAUUGAUGUUGAUUUAGGGAGAAAAAGGAAGUUGUAACCUACAACUCUCUAGCUUCCUGCAGUGGAAUUAUUAUUCCAGCAGGAUUUUGUUCUGUGUGCACUGGUGCAGAUAGAUAGAGAGAUAAUUAUGGAACUUUAAUGAUGGUCUGAUCGGACAUGAAAAUAAGCCAGAAACAGUAGUUGACAAGUGACUAAACCCUAAAAUUCCCUUUACCCCAUUGAUCAUUAUUUUGCCAUAUCAAGUCUCCUGGAUUCUCUUUUCUUGCCAGUUGCCUAAUCUGGAGGAUCAUCACUCUGCCCUUAUGGUAUUCAAUUUUAAUAAUUUAACAAAAUGGGACCAAACUCAGCCAAAAAAAACAUCAACUAAAAAGGACCACUGUACCCUCUCUUUAGCCAGAAAGCAAAACUACAUGGGAAAGCAACCACCGGCCAGACCGCCAGCUUCCAGGUCCAGUUACGCUUUUUUAUUCGGAGAUAUCAGGUUAGGAUGAUAUAUUUUGUAGAAAAUUACGAAAGCUGAGGAAUUACAUAAGAAAACACACAACUUCUUUUAAAUUUGGUAAGGUUCCGGGUUCGUUCAAUGCACAAAGCUGCUUGGCCGCUACGUGACGAGGCACAACGAAUUCGUUUGUGGGAUGGGUCGAAUGGCUAUCGACAGAUUUGGAUAAAAUUUCCAAUAUCAAGUAAACUAAAACCUGGUCUGGUUUGGUCUUUUAGAUAUCAAACUGAACCAUCCGAUAUUGAACUUUUUGUUAGAUUCGUUUCGUCGGUUAAAUACAUGCCUCUAAAAUCCUCAUGGUUUAAAUAUUAUUGAACCGUUGGAACUACCUCAUAAUCUAAUUUUUGGGGGUUCAUGAUACAAUGAUACAAUUCAAAAAGUGACUCGUGCGACAAUUGAUGAAUGACUUACGAAUAUGAUGAAAUACGAGUUGAAUAUAUAUUAAUAUCGAAAAAUAGCUGAUAUAUGUAUAGAAAUAAUGUGACUAUAAACAAAUUUAGAGACCGACUGAAUCUCUAACCCUUAAACCUCUCAUUCAUCAGGUCGGAUAUCUAGUCCUAACUGCAUUGUGUUUUGGUUUAGUUAACUAUUGAGUUUUACAAAAACCAGAUAGUAGAUGUGACUAGUGAAAAUCACAAUAAGUAGGCAAUUGGAACCCACAAUAACCAUUUUAUUCAGGACACAUAAUAUAAAAGUUCAACAUUUCAACACGAACAUACUUUAUCGUUGUGUAUAAUAUAUAGAAAAAGUUCGAUCUCUCAAACAACACACAUAGGUUGGACUGUUGCACGUAGCAGGUCGUGCAAUUAUGGUUUGCGAGGGAUUUCAGUCGGGGUAACGAAGAUGGGUGGAUCGCAGCAAUCUUUACAUAUUGUGGCUUCAUUUGGGUCGUAUUCACAGCACGAGAGACAGUGGAUAUCGGCAUCGCAAGACAGCCUUUCCCUCGGCUCUGCUACCAUCACUGCGGCUCCUCCGCCUCCAUGGCUGCCGGGUUGGACGACGGCCCUAGCUGAUGCUGGGAUUAUCAGUAUGGGGAGAAGAACGAUGAGGAAGAAAGAAACCUUCAAAUUCAUUUUCCACAGAAGUUACUGAAUUAUUAUUCACCGUCCUAAAUUAACGUUUUAAAAUAUGGAAAUUAUAUUAUUACCCUUUUGAUCAUAAAAAUUUGAAACGAAUUCCCAUUGAAACCGAAAACACCAAUUCAAUCUUUUUGCCGAUAAUAAUUGUGGUAACAAUUGUCGACGCCGGCGUACAAACGAUGGCCACGGUGCCGGUGCCGUACACCAACGCAGGCGAUUGUUAUCACAACUGUUUUUCUUCAAAUAAGUUAUAAUAGCAUUGCACUAUAAUCCAUUGCUUAACCUAUAAACAUGGUCGACUGUGUUUAUAAAGUAAAAAAGAUGGAACUGAAUUUUUUUUUCUAAUAUGAUUUUGAUAGUUGAUUAUCAGCGAUGAAGGUUGAGAUCGACAGAUGAUUGUUGAAAACUUGAAUAACAAUGAUAAUCAAGGAAUGAUCAACGGAUAAUCGACGACCUCAUAGGUGAUAUGUUCAGAAAAUAAAAUUUAAAAUUUGUGGGUUCGAUAAAAGAGUUUAUGACAUUUAUAAUAACUAAAGCGUUUUAAAAAAAAAAAAUAGGACAAUGAAUAACAACUCCCAAAGUUAAUUAAUUGAGAGCUUAAUUAGUUACUUGUUAUGGUCUUAGCAGGAUGUAGAUGGCCAAUUUAUAGUGGGCCAAAAUGAGAACCCAAUUGUGCGUUAUGGUCGGCCCUUUAUUGUUUAAUUUGGGGUAUUGGGCUUUCCGUUUGUCUUUGUUGGGCCUAUCGAUAUGUCCUCUGGAAUCCUUAUGGUUUUAUGCCGGAUGAUAUCUAAGCACUGAGCACCUUCCGCUUUGUGAUUGUGUGGAGAUUGAUUCCCCAUUUCGGUAAAAUACUAGUCGGUGGUCAGGCUGUUGACAAAUUAAACCGUUCGAAAUUUGAGAAUAAAUCAAUAGAAAAAGCAUACAAGUUUGUUUGAAACCUAUCGGAAUAUUGAAUGAGUCAUCUUUUUCGUAUUUGGCUCAAUAUUAAACUAGUUGAUAUUGAAUCAACCCUGCCUCGGUUCGAAUAGUGAGCCGCUCGAUAAUUAAUAGCUCACAAAUCAGCUCAACUAUUGACUCGCAAGCUGCUUGAUCAUUUUUACUUGCGAGCCUGAUUUUCGACCGGGUCGAAAAUUGGUGUAAGUGUCAUAAUUGCCAAAACAAAUUACUGUAACGGUGAAGUAAAAAUAUUUACUUUACUGAGAUCGUCGGACGAAAGCUAAAAGCUUUGGGAUUUCUGGUAACUCCUGCUAAAAAGCCUGGUCUUUUUUCUCAAUUCGUUGAACUGUUCUAACUCCAAAAAGGCUGGGCAUUUUUGCAAGUUCCUAAAUUCUUAUCCGCUGUUAUCCGGAUUCUGAAAAUUCACACUGAAAUGAGCCAAUCCAGCAACUGAGAAGAAUGGAGAUGUCUGUGAUGGCGAAUACGCAAAUGGGUCUUCCUCAUCCCGAAACAAGCUGUAGCUGUAGGUGGAUUACAGAUUCUCCCUAUGGGUUUCUGAAUUCCCGGCAACCCUUUUUCUCCGUUCCUGCAAGCAUCAAAAGUAGGAACAAAUUUGGGCGUAUGAGGAUUAAGGCGGAGAAGGAAGAAUUAGGGUUCAAGCCGUCUUUUGGAGAGUACUUGAAAGUUAUGGAGCGUGUGAAAACUGGCCGAGAGAAGAAGCUAACGGAUAAUUUGAAGGGAGAUGGAGAAAAUGGAAACAUUGACAGGUUGACAGGAUUUGGUGGUCAAGACAAGGCACCUAAGUCCAGCUUCAGACCAAAUGAUAAGCUUCCUGGCAGCGAGGGAGGUGAUUUUCCGGAAGCUGUUGUUAAUGGUGGUAAGUUUGUUCAUGAAAGAAACAUGAUUAGAAGAGGGAAUGAUGUAUCUAGCACCAUUCGUUUUGAUGCUAAUGUACAGAGUAGGAUAGGAGGGAGAGCAAUGGAUGAAAAACCGUUAGGUGGUCGAAAUUCUAGAAUGAAUCGAGAGUUAGGGAAUUCGAACAUAGUGAAGGUUGAUAAGAUGGAGAAUGUUGGUGAUGCUAUGGUCAAUCGCAGCAGUAUCGAAGCUAGAGAGAGCAAAAGGGAAAGCUCGACUGGAGCUUGGGUAAGAAAAAAGAAUGUCUUGGAUAAUGUGGGGGGAAUCUCUGUUGUAGUUGGUGAUGUUAAGGUCAAUGGCAGCAGUAUCACGAUUAAGGAGCGAGAUAGUGACAGGGAAAGCUCGACUGGAGCUUGGGUAAGAAAAAGGAAGGAAGUUGGUGUUAGACCAGAAGAAGCAACGAGUUACAGACCUGUGGCGAAUUUCCUCCAGGUUAAAGAGAUUAUUACUCCAAGUGAAACUAUGCAGAAAAAUGGGAUGCUGCGUGAAAAGAAGUGGCUUCACCGUAAAAACGUUGGAGAUAGUGAUUCGAAAGCGGACAGAGCGGCCUUCAAAACAUUGGAGGAUUCGGAGUAUGUUGUCCGAAGGAUACCGGCUUCCAAACGAGAAGUGGAAGAUAGGAUCCAGAAGCUAGCGACUUGGUUUGUGGUUCAUCCCUUCAUUCUCCUGCAUACAUAUUUGAGAUUUAUCCUUUUUACUCCUGUGGUUAACAAAGUUAUAUGAUUUCUUGUGAACAGUUUAAAUGGCGCAGACAUAGAUGUGCCAGAGUGGAUGUUCUCUAAGAUGAUGCGAAGUGCCAAAAUGAAGUAUACCGAUCAUAAUGUUCUGAGGCUCAUUCAGAUAUUAGGUAAACUGGGAAAUUGGAGGCGAGUCUUACAAGUCAUCGAGUGGCUUCAGCUACGUGACCGGUUUAAAUCUCACAACCCGCGGUACAACAUUCGUUCCCCCUCUUUGUCGAAUUCUAAAAAGCUCGAGACAACAAAAAUUCUGGAACGAACAGAAAAUACUUCAUGAAAUGCAAAAAAAAUAUGUUAACCUAUCCAUUCUUUUGUUCCAUGCAUAGAUGAUGUCGGCGAAUUGAAGUUUGAUGCUGAUCCUGACAAUUCCUUUGUAUCUUAUUAUGAUGCAGGUUUAUCUAUACAACUGCCCUUCAUGUACUUGGAAAGGCAAGAAGGCCUGUAGAGGCACUAAAUCUGUUUUAUGUAAUGCAGGUAAUUCAUAACUUGGCUGAUAUGUAGACCUUUCAAUCUAGGAUAUAUAUCACUAAAACAAGACGUUUUACUUUUGUCUGGUCCAGAAACGUGUAGCUACCUAUCCUGACUUGGUAGCUUAUCAUUCGAUAGCCGUCACUCUUGGGCAAGCAGGCUAUAUGAAAGAACUUUUUGAUGUUAUUGACAGCAUGCAGUCUCUUCCUCCUAAGAAGAAGAACAAAGAAGGGUUUCUUGAGACUUGGGACCCCAGGUUAGAACCUGAUGUGGUCGUUUACAAUGCGGUCAGUAGUCCUCAACCGAUUUUUAUCCAGAGUUUAGACAAAAUACAAAUGUCUAACUUCAUAUCUCCUGUCCUUUUUCAGGUGCUCAACGCCUGUGUCCGGAGAAAACAAUGGGAAGGUGCAUUUUGGGUUUUGCAGCAGUUGAAGGAACAAAAGCAAAAACCUUCCACUGCAACAUAUGGGCUAGUAAUGGAGGUCAUGUUUGUCUGCGAGAAGUACAACUUGGUUCAUGAGUUUUUCCGGAAACUGCAGAAAUCUUCUAUUCCUGAUGCUUUAGCGUAUCGAGGUAUGACAGUCUGCCAUCAUCUCUCCUGUUUCCGAAAUGAUUUGGUAUGACUGUGAGAUGUAAGUGAAUUUCUUGCACACAGUUGUUGUGAAUACUCUGUCGAAAGAAGGCAAGCCAGAUGAAGCUGUUUUGGCCGUUCAAGAGAUGGAAAGCCGAGGAAUCGUGGGUUCUGCUGCCCUUUAUUACGAUCUUUCUCGCUGUCUUUGUAGUGCCGGAAGGUGUGAAGAAGCUUUAUCUCAGGUAAUACUCGAACAUCCUGAGAGUUUUCUCUUGAAAAGAAAUAUCAAGUAGCUAACUAGAUCAUUUUUUAUCAUGCAAACGUAUCGGUAAAUGCAAAUUUCUAUGGAUGAUUGUAAUGUCGGUUAAUAAUCUAUGAUCUUGCGACCAAGAAAACAAUUUCUGCAUGGUAAUGACUUGAUACUUUCAAUUUGACAGGUUGACAAAAUAUGUAGAGUGGCCAAUAAGCCUCUGGUAGUAACUUACACCGGACUAAUACAAGCAUGCCUGGAAGCUGGACGAACCGAAGAUGCAUCGUACAUCUUUAGCCACAUGAAGCAGUUCUGCUCCCCGAAUCUUGUCACUUGCAACAUAAUGCUCAAAGGUUAUCUGGACCAUGGACGGUUUGAAGAAGCGAGGUCGCUCUUCGACAAGAUGUUAGACGACAGCAAGCAGAUCGGCAGUAGAUUAGAUGAUGACACGGUCGGAGUAGUUCCCGAUAUCUACUCCUUCAACACGAUGUUAGAGGCUUGUGUUGCAGAGCAGAGGUGGGAUGAUUUUGGGCAUGUGUAUGAAAUGAUGUUGCACCAUGGACACCACUUCAAUGCAAGGCGUCACGUUCGCUUGGUCUUGGAAGCUGCCAGAGGUGGAAAGGUAUGUCAUUUUGCAGAUCUUUCUUUUAGGUUUUUUCCUGAUGUUUGUUUCUGUCUAAUGGGAUCUCCCAAUUUCCCGUAACAGGAGGAAGUGGUGGAAAUAACAUGGAAACACUUGGCUCGGGUCGGUUGGGUUCCUCCGCCUCCAAUCAUCAAGGAAAGAUUCUGCCAAAUGCUCGAGAAAUGCGACUGCGAUUCUGCUCUGGAAUGUGUUGCUUCUGCUGCGACGAAUCACGAGGAGAGUCCAGCAUUCAACAAAACUGGGUGGUUGAAUCUGUUGAAAGAUAAUUCUCACAGGUUCAGUAGGGAAACCGUUAUUGAGCUUUUGCACAAGGCCAAAUUGUUAGUUUCUGAAAACAAUGGUGUUGUUGUUGCUAAUACUCCCUUGGAUACUCUGGUGACAGCUUGUGACCAUUUUUUAAGGACAAGCAUGAAUAAAUAAACCUCUGCCAACACUGAAAUCUUUGAUCUUUGUUAGCACUGAACUGAAAAUCCAAGUUCCAUUGGUAGGAAACGGAUGGGCCACCCAACAUUCCUUCCUUAAUCCACUCCACGGGCCCAAGAAUGAAAGCAGUCCAAACUUGACACAUACUUACUCAUGAUAGUAUUUCCUAGCUUUGAUCAGACAACUCGAUUCGAUCUUAAAUUUUUAAAUCGAUAGGAGUAAUACGGUUUCAAUUGAGCCUUUAACUCUCGAACCUUUCACUCAUUUGUUCAACGUCGGGUUUAGUUUUUGACGACUUGGGUAUAUUCCUAGCCCCAUGUUAGUAACGCAAGUCUUGAUUUAAUAACCAACGUACUGAUUUUUUGGGGUAUUUUCAAAAUUAGGAUUGUGUGACAUGGGAUGAUGCCAUAAUGGAGCAUCUAAGUGAGUCUUCAUGGGGUACAAACCCAGUCCAUUUUUAAGGUAAAACUUGAGUAAUUUGUAUCUUUAGAUUAUAAGAAAAUAGUAAUGAUAAUAAUUUGUACCUUUAAUAUGAAGGAAAUGAAAUAAAAUAUGUACCCAGUUGGGUAGUUGAGUUUUGUAAUGGUCGUUGGUGCUGGAAAACAACCUACAAACAAUAACAACAGCAACCAGGUGUUGGUUGCAAUGUUGCUAACACAACCACGAUUGGGCCCAGGCCCUGACCGACACAGUUAUGUGGGCCCAUUUCAUUCACCCCCCCACCAACGUCCAACGUUGGUGUUGUUGUUGUUGUUAACCUUUUCGAGCAAUAAUAAGUGUACCGGCCGAAUCAGAAGUGGAGUGAAUUAUCAAACUUUUAGGAUUAUCAUUGAUUGAUAGGUUAACUAUAUUAAGUAGUAACGAUGAAACUUUGAAUUGAAAGUUGGUUUAAUUGAAAUAAAGAAACUAGAGGAUAGUCGUACUCAUUGGGUUACAACCAUCUGGUAGAAUUUAUCCUUAAAAGUUAACUUGUAAGAAGAGGAUGUUUAGAAGGUUAUAAACUCACCACUAAAUUCAUACUUAACGAUGUGAUAUUCAAUUAGGCACGUAACACAUUGGCGGAUACAAGAAGUCUACCUAUGCUACGAUCCAUCCCAUUCCAAGUCUAUAACCCCUAAUACCAUGGAGCCGCACCACGAAAACGCCACAAAAUUACGUAUGAUUUAGCACGCAAUAUUGAAUAAGGUGGGAGAGCUGCGACUCCAUUAUUCUGCUUAUAAUGAUUCAUAUAUUAUCCAAUAUUGUUAGCACCAAACCGAACAGUUCAAUGUUGAACGCCUACAAAAUCAAGGGUGAGCGAAUUUGGGCAACUACCCAUUUUUUUUAAAUGCGUCUCAUUAAUGUUAAUAACAAAUAUGAGUUAUAUGAUCACAAAGCCAUUCAGGAGUAAUGAUCCCUGAAAAGGGAGAGGGUAAAAAAGAGAGCGACGAAUUAGCUUGCGGGCUGCUCAAUUUCUACCUCUCCCAAGUCCUAACAAAACCCACCUCACAAAUGGUCUUAAAAGAACAAAAGUGGGCACAAAUACGAGUGAUUCACCCUAUAAUUUGUCCGAAACAUCAUCUUGGUAGUGUUGGAUCGCGUAGCAAACAGCAAGGCAGCCCGUUCCAAAUGUGGCUCGAGAUAGGCCAUUGGUGUGCGUCCGUCUCAUGGCAUGCAAGAGAGCCCGUUCACUAAAGAUAAACAUCGCAACAAGGUGCAUGUCUUGAAACCAAUGACAUGUCAUGUGAAAUUACGAAAGAUAAAACUCAUACCGCAAUAAUUCUUUACAUAUUGAUAAAACUCUACGUAAAAUUAUCAAAAUUGAUAUUCAAUCAAAUGUUUCGCCCACAACACAAUCAAAUUUUACUCAAAUUUACCAUAAUUGAUGGGUGUAGCAUGCUCACUGAAGUCCACAAAGAAAGAUGAGAUUGAAUCUUCCAAGCAAAAGAUCGUAAAAGCGAGUGGCAGCUUUUGGAGUUGGACACUGUUCGUGCUUGGGAACUACCACUGACGUCCAUCGGUAAAGUCACUUUUACAGAUUGGAAUGGUGGUGGGCACAUGCAUGCAAGUAUUCAAAUUUAACGGAGCUCCGUCCAUCCGGCUGCCCAUCCCCACAUGAAUUUCUGCUUUGCCUUUUGCUUUCCCUACACACAGAGACUCUGUACCACCAAUCCGAAGGCAACAGUUUGCACAACGGGUCGUUAAAUGACCCGUCGUUUUCCUUUCUGCAAUGCAGCGUACUAAGGACGAAGAGUUUUUGUGUGUUCUGAGGAUUUUUCGAAUUUUUUUUCGAUAAAAAUUUAUGUUUCCUUUGAGAUAAUAGAUAUUACGGGUGGUUUGUUCAAACUAGCGAAUUUGAGGCUAUAUGUAAUUUAAAAAAAUAAAUUGUUUAAACGAGUGAUUUUAAGUGAUUGAAAAAAAAAUGAGAUUUUUUUAGUAAUUUCAAAUUGCCCCUAAUUUAAAAUGGAUAAAACUGUAAUUAUAACAAACCUAUACAUCAUGACAUUGCUGUAAUUAUUGGAUAAGUAGGAAUUUUUUGGAUAAUAGAAAAAUGAAUUCUUUUAAAAAAAUCCAUUCACAAGCUAGUUAGUGAUUUCAAUGUAAGUUAAAAAUUUAUAAGAUUCAUAUUUAAAAUUAAAAUUUUUUAACAUUCUGCGAUAAUUAAUUAUAAUCCAAACUAUCUAUUUGAGUCAAAUCUCAAACUUACAGCUCAUGAAAAUAUCUCAUCGUUUUCACCUACACCAACAAAGCUACAUUUUACAUUUGAAAUUGUGUUAUGUUCCAUGAAUGAGAAUGUUAAGGAAAUGCUUGAAAGUUUUCUUGGAGUUGUGGUCCUCAAGAAUUUAUAAGAUAUUUGGAUUAUGAACACAUAGGAUUUACAGUGCACCAAAAGCAUCCUAACCUCCAUGCUGCAGUUAGGGAUCUCCAGACUAAAAAUGGACACAAUCAUCACCUCAACUGCAAUUACUGUAUUCAUUAUAAUUUAAAACAAGAAUCUGAGCCUCAAGAUCCAGACAUCCCGAGUAAGUUGUAGCGGUAUAUAAUAAUAAGGAACAAAGACUGUUAUUAUGGUAUGACACAGCUGUAGGAACAUGGUUAGUUUAUUUACCUGAGUUUACUGAACAUGUUAUUUGACAAGAGGAAGGAAUGCAGGUUGGGCAAAUCAUUCUAAGGUCCAAUUUGGUAGGGCUUUUUUUGUUGUUGUCAUCAACGAGGAUGGUCACUAAUUACUUAUAUUAGUAACCACCUUCGAUAACUAAUCAUUCACUAACCAUUUGAAUAUAAUUUUUAAAAAUAUAAGAUUAUCUUAUAUGAUAGGUCAUCAACUAAAUUGAAAAAUCGAUUUGGUUCGAACCACUCAAUAUCUGAAAUCAAAUUACGCCCAAACAAACCAGGUGCCUAAAAGAUGAGGGGAAUAGCCACCUUUCAUAAGGUGAGCCUCGCAACCUCCCUCGAAUAAUCUACCGGCAUGGCCUAAUGAAAGAGAAGACACGCGUCAAAGUAAUCACCCUAACCCUAAAAGGACCGUCGUUAUCCAAAGUACCAAAUCACCCAAAGAAGAUCCAUGGCUAGAGAUGAGACCAUGACAACAAUCACAUCCCAACGGGCUAUAUAACAAACAGAGCUUGCCGACCACCCACUAGACAGACAAAUAGAAGAGGGAACGUAUAUUCUCUUAGUACGUUCUCCAUUCUCAUUUUCCUCCUCCAAAUUUAUCUCUCCACCGCAUCAUGCCUUGAACUUAUUACUGUUUUCUACCUAUGAAUGCGGGGAUUUUUCUACAUACAAACUUGGAUUGAUCUUCCGAUACGAUUGAUGAAGUGUAGUACAACUAUAGAAACUAGAAAUCGUCCUACCUCUAACCCUCGCCCGUCAUUAACUAAGGUCAUCUGUAUAUAGUUGAAUUCACUUAUUGGCCGACUUGGCCCAACCCUAUAAUAAUUCACAAAAAUACAAGAAAUUGACAAGUGUCCGGACAAGAGUGAAAAAGGACCGACGAUCAAAAGGCCGUGGGAGCGUCGGGGGUUUUGAGACCCCCGAGAUAUUUAUUACGACUGAUUGCGUACGUGGCUGCAUGUAGUCGGUGACACCGAGUCAGAGUCCUGCAGUCAAUCCCCACCGUCUGCGCUCAAUCAGUCCUCUCUAUGAUCCUCCGCCAAUUGCAAUCUGACACCUGCCUUCAUUAGCCACCUAAUUACGAAUUUGUAUUUUCGUAAUCUAUUAUUAAUCUCUACUUCCCCUAAACAUUUUCUAAUGUUUCAUAGUUUUUCACGUUUCUUUUCAUUUUGGUAAGAAGAUUUCCACGUUUCUUUUGUACCAUUUAUCAAACGAUGUUAUUUAACAUAACACAACUUCUAGGUUCUCUUAUUUCUCUGUGUCUUUUGGAUUUUCAAACUCUAGUACCAAACGACCCCCUAAUCUUAUCUAACAUUUGUUAGUUUGUUGGUAUAGAGUUGAUAGUUAUGUCGAAGCGCCCUGUCGAGUGAGGCCUCAACUCGACGGCCCUAGGCUCUACGGCACAUCCAACAUCAGCUUUCUCACAUUUAACAACAAGUUCAUUAGUCAUUCCAUCGAGUAAAUUUUGAUAAUGAUUCUUUCACAGGAUUAUAACUUUUUUUUAAUUAUAUAUAUAUAUAUAUAGCUCAACCAUGAAAUGGAUUUUUGUAAAAAAUCAAGAAUUAUCUAAAAAUUCAUUCGAAUUCAAAUUCCAAUUCCAAAUCAUAGGGGUCGUUUGGUCUUUGGAUGACUUAUGUGUGCCAAAAUUAUUUGUUUAGCAUUCAAAAAUAAUUGUAAUUUCUCUGUUGUGAUAUUUUAAAUAACUUGUUAUAUAUGAUAAUUUGGAGCAAAUAACUAAUCACUCAAUAUCUCAAAUAAUUUAGUUACCCAAAAAAAAAAAUUAAACUCUAAUUUUCUUUACACCUCAUAAAUCCCUUAUUUUCAAACAAUUGUAUUGUUUUUCUAAGAAAUACCAUAUAUGAUACAUCAGGACAAAUAUUUAGCUGACCAAACUUAGUAAGUUGCAAGCGGAUUCAGCUAAUGGAUGGAGAAAUACUGAAAAUUUGGAUGGAAAAGGCUCAUUUGUUAAGACAUGCGUAACACUAGGAGAUAUGUCAACAAAUUUAUAGAACGAGGAGUGAUUUGCUAAUGUUACAAAGUAGAGGAGCUAAACUAAACUUUUCUGUUCUCAAGUUCAUACUCCAUACCGACGUGGCUUUCUCCUUUCGGUUUCCUAGUCAACCUCUUAACCUCCCUAAUUUCUUGUACGCAAUUAAGAAUCAAUUGUAUGCAAAAAGUCAAUUUUUUUUAUUAAUAGAAAAUAUUAAUUGCAAAAGAUAAACUAGAGUUGAUGGAGCUAGUACCAUAUUUGAUAAUAAUCAGUAAUUCAUGAUUUAGUUGGCAAAAAUUGAUAUGAUUUAGUUUUAAUUAAUCGAAAUCAUGAGAAAAAGAAUGAUUAUAUGAUCGAGAGAAGGUAAAGAGGUAUGUAAAAAUGGAGAAGAAGCGAUAGUUGCAGCAUGAAUUGAAUGAUACUAAAUUCGAAAUGCUUUAUUUAUAUAAAAACAAAUAACAAUAAUAAGUGACAUAUUUAUUAUCAUUUAGAGUGGUCUAACCCGUCAAAUUAAACGAAUAACACAUAUUAGUAUCUUACUUCAUAUUUAUCAAUAUCUUUUAUGUAGGAAAAAGAUACCUUUUGCCAGACCAUAGGGCAUUUCCAAUGAGCUGCCAAAACGGGCUUAAAACUAACAUUUAUAUCCAAGAGAGAUUAAUCAUGUUUUGUUAUGUAAUUGCGAUCGAAAUAGAUAUAUUUUUUAAGUAGGCGCUCCAUUAUCAAAGAACUUCUUCCAAAUUAUGACAUCCGCUUCUAAAAUUCGUAUUCAGCCAGUUCAUGCACCAUUCUUGAAUAUUUUCGAAUAAAUAUUAUCGAUAUUUCUCACUUUUUAAACAAAUAUUUAGAUUUUACUAUCUAGGUUUAAUAGCAAUGUUAGAAAGAAAGAAAAUAGUAAAUCAAAAUUUUCACCUUUUUUUUUAUUUUAUAUGAUUUUAUUUGCGGACUCCGUCCAACCAAAAAUUAAGAAAUAAAAAAUAAAAAGUUUGCUGCCUCUUGCUCUCUGUGUUUCUUGGGUUUCAUUCUUCUUCAGAGUUUUUCACGUUCCAAAAACGUAUAAUCUGGAGCAAGAAGGAAACAACUCCUCUCUCAGAGCUCCCUCCUCUACGUUUUCUUUCCUUCUAUCUUCGCUACCACUCUCUCUUCUUUCUUUCCACAAAAUUGAUCACCUUCGCCUUAAUUCAUUCAUUCAUUCAUUCUCCCUUCACCUUUGCCGCUUCCAUAAACUUCGCGCCUCUGUUUUUUUCCUUCCCCUUUUUCUCUUAUUCACGCCUUUGAUCUUCGUGGGUUUCUACUCAAUUUCCACAUCCGGCUUUCCUGGGUUUGUCUCGCUAUCUUAUUAUAUAAAUAUUUCCACUUGAUUUCAUUUCUGCUUUGUCUUUGUUUCUCCUUCGUUUGUGAUCUUCAUUCCCACCAAGUUUGUAUGUUCAUCCUUCUUCUUCUUCUUUCCCGCCCUGAUUUUUGUUCGUUUGGUUCCUUUUGAUCUGAACUUUUGGUUUCCCUUUCUGGGUUAGACUCCAACUUUGCUGAGGUAGUGCUAGCAUUUUCAGGUGGUUUUCUGUUGUUUGCUUUGUCUGCCCACCAAGUGUUUGAGCUAACGCGUCUGAAGAAACACUGCAAUUAGAUUUUGUUUUGGUUUCAGUAUGAGUUAAUGUGGGUUUGCAUUCAGUGAGUUGCUUUUUCCGGAUCUUGGUGGUAUUGAUUUCCGACGUUCUGCAAAUUGUUGAUAGCUUUCUAUUAUUUCCAUCAUCUGACAUUUUGCAGACAUGUCCUGACACAAAGCCUGGAAUUCCAUUGUUAUUCUCUUUCUUUCUCUUUGCUUUUUCCUUGUUAAUGUUUGAACCUCGAGCUGGAAAUUUUUCAUUUGACCUUUCCCUUCUGGGUUUGAUACUGUGAUUUCUCUUCUGUGGAUCUGGAAGCGUUUUCCUUUAUUUCACAAUUUGGUUUUCUUUUGUUCAUUUCUCAUUUCCGGUCCCUGUUUCGGUUCAAUGAUUGCUUAGGGGCCCAACUCUCCAUUGGUUUUCAAUUUGCUUGCCAUUUUGCAUUUUGGAAUUAUUCAUUUUCAAAUUUCACACAAAGUUUGCUCAUUUUUUGGUAUUCACGGUGCUGCAGGCUGGAAGAAGCUAAAAGAAGGUGUUUGUGAAAGUGUGUGCCUGUUGAGAAGUUAGGAGUGGUUUGCAACUUCUCCAGAUGCUAAAUUCUGGAAGGACCAGAACUCAGCCUAGAUUAGGUGGGUUGGUUUUCUUCCAUAUUCGCAUUGGUCGUUUUAUUACUCCAUUACCAUACACAGUUGUUAAAAAUUCCAGUUCUUGAUCAUCAUAUCCUGUGAUUCUAAUUGUAGGAAUGGACUACCCAGAUCAUAAAAGGAAGGGAAACUUUGUAGCAAAGGUUGCUUUAGCUGCUAUCUUGACUGCCGUAUGCAUACUUGUGCUUAAUCGAUCCUCGUUUAAUUACACAACCCCGGUAAUCUUUUGUGCCCCUUAGCUUUACUUCACAGCUCUAACUAGAUAAAUAUAUUUUGAUUAAUUUCGCAUUGGUGUCCUGAUUUUAUCAAUUGUGUAUUAUUGUACAGUUCUCUGUACGUGAACCAGGUGUAACUCAUGUCCUAGUGACCGGUGGUGCAGGCUACAUUGGUUCGCAUGCUACAUUACGCCUUCUGAAAGAUGGACACAGGGUGACCAUAGUGGUAUAGCUCAUGUUUUUGGAGUUCUUUUUCCUAUCUUUAUCCCACGUUUAUAUGUCUGCUUGGUAUCUUAGCUUCAGUUAAUCUGUUCUUGUAGGACAACCUUUCACGUGGUAACAAAGGUGCAGUUAAAAUCCUCCAAGAACUGUUUCCAGAGCCCGGGAGGCUUCAAUUUAUAUAUGCAGAUUUGGGAGAUGCAAAAGCUGUAUCCUUUUCUGCUUCCAUUUGUUUUUUGUUUUUUCUCGUUGAAAUUUAGAUUUGGUUGUUGUUUCCUUCACCAAGAAUCCAGGUUAACAAAAUAUUUGCAGAGAAUGCUUUUGAUGCUGUGAUGCAUUUUGCAGCCGUUGCAUAUGUUGGGGAAAGCACUAUGUAUCCUCUCAAGUAAGCAUCAAGAACUGCACACAAGUGCGAUAUAGAUUGUGUUUUCUUUGCCCGUCACUGCUUGCUAAAUAACAUAGUAUAGCUCAGAGGAAAAGGUACCCAGAGGAUGGUUUUCGUUCAAUUUUAGAUGUGUAGGAAGAUCCUGAUUCAAACUUCCACUGGAUUUUGAUUACCAUCCUUGUUUCACCUACUUGCAUUAUCCUAAUCAAUUCCAUUGUACAUCUGGUAUGACUUAAGAGCUGGAAUAGUAUUCUUGAGCUAUAGGUAAAACGUCAUUAGUUUGGCCAAGUCUGCUUGUACAGUUGUAUUAAUUUCCUUGAAGCUUGCAUUUUGAUGUCUCUCCCAAUAGGAAAAUAUUAAACGCAAGACAUUAUGGACCAACUUGUUUUGCAGGUAUUAUCAUAAUAUAACAUCAAAUACCUUGGUGGUUCUGGAGUCAAUGGCCAAGCACGAUGUGAGGACUUUGAUAUAUUCUAGCACAUGCGCUACAUAUGGGGAGCCAGAAAAGAUGCCUAUAACUGAAGAAACGCCUCAGGUAGACUUAAGCUUAACAAUUUGCUUACCUUUUGUUGAAACCUAUACUAGCUAUUUUAACUUCAGUUCUAUGUUUUGAUCUAUCAUCUCAGGUCCCCAUUAAUCCAUAUGGAAAAGCCAAAAAGAUGGCAGAAGACACGAUCCUUGAUUUUUCUAAGACAUCAGACAUGGCAGUUAUGAUUUUGAGGUGUCUUCCCGUUUCUUUCAGAACAUCUAAUUAGCUGUAAAUUGUGCUUUGUUAAUUGUAAUUGCACUGUUAGCUGGCUUCUCCAUAGUUGUUGGUUUUCCUUCAUUCUUUUUAGUGGAAUUUGAUGUCCUCAAAUUAUGGCUUCAGAUACUUCAAUGUGAUCGGAUCAGACCCAGGGGGGAGAUUAGGUGAGGCUCCCAGGCCAGAGCUCCGUGAGCAUGGUCGGAUUUCUGGUGCUUGUUUCGAUGCAGCUCGUGGCAUCAUGCCAGGGUUGAAGGUAUUCAUUGCCCCAUCUUGAUUUCGAAAGCUUCGUUGAUUCCGAAUGCCUCAUCAAUAAAUCGUCCCUAUCUCGUUCAGGUUAAAGGAACAGACUACAAGACACAUGAUGGCACAUGCAUACGAGAUUACAUCGAUGUAACAGACCUUGUGGAUGCUCAUGUGAAGGCCUUGGAAAAGGCCGAGCCUGGCAAAGUGGGAAUCUACAAUGUUGGCACAGGAAAAGGUAAAAGGUCUGAACUUUUUGAUUGAAUGUUAUAUUAAAGUGAAAUGACAAAAACUCUGUUCACCAAAGUCCCCGAAUCUCGAACAAGGUUCGUCUGUACGAUUUAUAUGUCCCGUGGUUUUCAUUCAUCAGGUAGAUCAGUCAAAGAGUUUGUGGAGGCAUGUAAGAAGGCGACCGGAGUGGACAUAAAGGUUGACUAUUUACCUCGUCGCCCCGGUGACUACGCCGAAGUCUACAGUGAUCCGUCAAAGAUAUUGGCCGAACUGAACUGGACAGCGCAGUACACUGACCUGCAAGAGAGUUUGAAGACGGCGUGGAAAUGGCAGAAGGCGCACCGGGACGGGUAUGGAAGUCCUUCAGUGAUGGCUUCUUGAAAAGAAACACAUUGAUUGUAGAGUCAGAGUCUCUGAGAGCAUUGGAUAGCAGAAUUUAACCCGGAGACAAAAGCCACACCCCCUCUGUACACACUACACAGCAGCUCUGCCUUAUCUCUUCUGAUUCUGGUAGGAGAGGGAGGGGGUGUUUGGAGGAGAGGAUUUACUACUACUAUUAUUACUAUUAUUGCUGUUUUUGUCUCAGAAUAAUUCACUUAUAUAGAGGAGGGAGGGAGAUGUAGGAGGUGGCCAAAUUCAUUACUUGUAUGCUGGAAACAAGUAAUAUAUAGUUCAAUAAAAUGAUGACAGAUUCUGAAUUUUCCAGCACAUUCCAUCAGUUACAUGUUACUUUCAUUGUUGCUGAGUUUCAAUGGUAGUUUGCUCGAGGGAUUCGUCGGAUUUAGUGAAAAGCGAGGUGAAAUAGAAGAAGUUUCAGAUAUGUAAGUUAUUUCGUAGCUCAUUUCGUUUAGUGGAACUAAUUUCCAAAGAACAAAUAUCCAAAUGUGCAUUUUCGCUUGAACCAACCAAAUUACCCGACUAGAAGUCGUUUCGAACUGCCAGACAUGGGCAGUUGGGCGGAACGAGCAGUUGUGCUCCAUCACAACUGGGUUUGGUGUCCACAUUUUGUUCAUCCAUCAACACAUAACUCGUAACAUAUUAGUUUUCGAAUUCAGGACUCCAAGUUCCGAAUUCUGCACCGAGUUUUGUCUGUUUAUCAACUAAUAUAUGUUACAGGUUCACUUUCUGGUUUCAGCAGCUGCAACUUGGACGUUUGAUAUGCGUGAGAUUUAAGUGAGUUGUAUUGCGUCGUGCCCUGAUAUCAAAUCGAAACUGAGAUCGCAGACCUCGGAACAACACAGAACAACCGUCGGUCAUUAAGAGAAUCACAACUCAUAUAAUCGAUGAACUAUAACCAUUCAUCAUAUGUAACGAAAUUAAGGAAUGGAGUGAUGGUUAGAAAUAUGACAAUACUAAACACAGCACAAUCCAGUCAGGAACACGAAAGAUCAAAGACACAGUAUCACAACAAGGCGCCAUUGAGAUGAGAAAAUAUACUACUAGUUUUUUCUACUCAAACAUCAUGCAACUGUUUGGACUGCUCUUUCGAAGCUAUCUUCGGCCGAGGUUACACGCUUCAGGAGGACGUGUUCCGGUUCCGAAAGCUUCAACUGGCUGCAACAUAAAGAAUCAUUGCAAUCCAAGUUAGAUAGCCUGAGUUUUAACCUAAGCACCCUAUGGAGUUGACCGAGAGGUAAUGAAACUCAACCAGACGAGCUUACUUGAGAUAACGUGAAGAUGGUUUGCCGAGGUGAAGAUUACAUACAACCAGGUUGGCAAGGGUUUCUGGAUCCUUUCCAUCCUGUCAUGAUCACGAAAACAAGUAAGAAACCGACGUCGAACGAGUCUAUGAAAAGAUAAGGCUAUGAACGAGUCUGAAAGAAAUUAAGAACAUCACAACAAUAUACUCUACAGGAUUAUAGAACGCACGAACUUGCCUUGUUUAGUGCUUCAAGGAGCAAUGCCUCUGCUUCAUCAAAGGUACCCAUGUGCAUGCAACAAACAGCCUUCCCAUUCAAUAUUAAUCCUGUCAUGGGAUAUUUCUCCGAUAAAUCUUGGAAUAUGAGUAGAGCUUCUCGUAUUUUUGAACCGCCCUGUUUGAAUAGAAGGCGAUAUGAAUAAUCGGAUAUUCUUUGACAAAUUAUAAAUCAGUCUAUUUCGGUAAACUGCACGAAAGUACUUACAACAGCCAGAUUCACCCAUGCAUUUGCAAGCUGAGUAAGCGUAUGGUCCUCAUCAAUCUGUUGCAUUACUCUUAGCUGCUUUUCUGCAAAAUCUGUUCUGUGCAUCUUGAUGAAAAUUUGAACAUUCAAUGCAUGCCUGAAAAACCCGGAAUUGAAAUUUGUCAGGAAUUAAGGAUAUUAGAACGAAACCUAGGUAAGAUGCAGUAUCCCUCUAAUGGAUGGAGGGUCGUUAAAAGUUCAUGUCAUUGAUAUAGUCGAAAUAAACCUCCAUAUCGUAUCUGUCUCGUCUACUGUCUUAAUAGAUAGAUAACCAUACAAGAUCAAGAAUAGAAUCUGCCUCGUCUACUGUCUCGGCACAAUAAAUUGAAUAAGAUAAAAACAUUUGACAGCUUCAAAAAACUUACAGUUCCAUGGUUCCUCCAGCAUGAGUGUGCUUCAGAGCCUCAUUAUAGUCCUCUUCAUUCAUGAAUAUGAUCCCAGCAAUGAGCCUCAAAAUGGCAUUAUUUCCAAUAGCUGAAUCAGCUAGCCACUCUUUCAAGCUCACAAUUACAGAUUGCUGCACGCAGGAAUUAGGGAUACAGAGCAUCACCUCUCUUAAUCAUUAUGUAACAUAACAACUAAGAUCCGGUGUUGAAACAAUUAACAAUUGCUAGGCAUCGAUAUGAGAAAUCAGCAAAUUAUGAAACCUACACAUACAACCGUUCAAAUUAAAUGAGCAUUGAAUCAACCUAGACAGGAAUUCUACAGAUCAAGCAGAGGAGAUUCAGAGCACCACAUACAAUGGCCAUACGUAUACAAAUUAGGAACAGACGAAUUGUCUUCCAAUCUGAGCACUCCUGUUACAUCCGAUCUCAAAUCAAAUUUUAUAUCCCGCUUUCUAUAGCUUAAAACGAGAGAAUCCAAAUCGAACACAGAUCUCAGUCCUAAAUUGUCCGAUCUCAGUCCUAAAAGCCAACAAAACAGGCACGAAUCUUACAAGACGAAAAUUGAAACCCUUCCGAACCUUAUUAUCAGAGUUUGAGAGGUAUAAGGCGAGCAACUUGACUGCCUGGAGAGGAGUUGCAGCUCUAUCGUCGAUCUCACUGAUCACGAGCUGGAAUCACACACGCCAACCAAUUCAAUACAGAGAAGCACUUAACAUACUGAAACAGAGAAUUCAUGCAGAGGAAACCAAUACCUGAUGGCUUCGAAGAGCGAUGUAAGAGCGGUGGACGAGGCAGUCCCGCUCAACAGCAUCCUCCGGGGACAGAUUGGUAACGUCGCUGCUGUUGAUCGCAGCCUGGAAUGCUCCCAAGUAGAAAUUGUUGCGUAGAUUGAAGAGGUGAUCGGGUGCCGACGCCAUUGCUUCCCUUUUCCUUUACCAGAUCUGAAACUCCACCUUGUGGAUCAAUGAAAUCUGAUGAGCUCUGGGCUAGAGCGUGAUUUUAGUAGUUUUCAUUUCUUCAUCAACGAACGGGGAAAUAAUUUAUAUGUAGCAAACCAAACCAGGGCGGUCAAACCCAUCUGGUUCGGUUAGAACUUCGAAUAAAUCACUAUUCACUAACCACAUGGACGGACAUGAUUUGGUAAUUUGAAAUGAACGGACAGGAUUCGUAAUUUGAACACUAUCCAACCCCAUUAUAGCAACGGAACCAGAGACUCUUCUUCCAUGUUUUUUCUUUAUAAACCCUAAGAAUUUCGGCUAUUUUUUUAGUUCUCCACAUCCCGUCGAUUAGAUUACAGUCCGACUACUGCGACGGAGAGGGAAGAACCCUAGAUCGCCGUAAACAAUGUCGAUGUCGAAGAGCUCAAAGAUGCUCCAGUACAUCAACUACCGGAUGCGAGUCACCAUUCAGGACGGGCGGCAGCUGGUAGGCAAAUUCAUGGCCUUCGACCGUCACAUGAAUCUCGCCCUCGGCGACUGCGAGGAGUUUCGCAAGCUCCCUCCGGGUAAGGGGAAGAAGAUCAACGAAGAGCGGGAGGACCGUCGCACCCUAGGCUUUGUUCUCCUCCGCGGCGAAGAAGUCGUGUCGAUGACUGUCGAAGGCCCUCCUCCUCCGGAAGAAUCGCGUGCCAAGUCGGUGGGUGCUCAUGCCCUUUCCGGCACCGGCAUCGGUCGCGGGGCCGGCCGUGGGAUUCCGACGGCUCCUCUCGUUCAAGCUCAACCUGGACUCUCCGGACCUGUUCGAGGUGUUGGUGGCCCUGCCCCUGGAACGAUGCAGCCUCAGAUCUCGCGUCCUCCUGUCCCGAAUAUGUCUGCUCCGCCGAUGAAUUAUCCGGUAGGUCAGCAAGCUGGUGGUCCACCGGUUAUACGGCCACCUGGACAGAUGCCUCAGAUGCAGUUCCCUGGACCUCCGAUGGCUCGUGGUCCUCCUCCGCCACAGUUUGCAGGUAGACCGCCGCAGCAGGGGUUUCCUAUGCCUCCUCAGUUUGCUCAGAGACCGAUGGGAAUGCCGCCGCCGAUGAUGAGAGGACCACCUGGUCAACCGAGUCCAGGGAUGCCGCCCAGGGAUGCCUCCUCCUGGUAACAUGUUUGGACCUCCAAGGCCUGGGAUGCCGCCUCCACCCAAUCCUCAGCAGCAGCAAAAUCAACAGCAAUGAUGUGUAAGUUGCAGCCCAGUUCCGUAGGCGUUAUUCAUCAGUAGAAAUGGUUCUUGUUGCUGAGCAUCUUCUACAUUGCAAAUUAGUAUAUUUUGCAGAGUGAUGAACUGAAUUGCAUUUUCUGUAAGAUAUGAUAUCGGAGUUUGUUGAACUAUUUAGCUGGUGAACAGUACAUCUAUGUUCUUCUUGAAAUGCUCACUUACACCCGGUACAAAAGGGGUCAAGCUUUCUGCUAAUGUUCUUCCCCCCCACAAAAACAAAUGUACAUGAGGGAUACUUCUAAGAGUGACAUGUAUAGUCAGAGUGCUAUCUCUUGCGAGAAAAAUAGAUGCCAGAAACAAUAGCCACUCCAGCAGCAACGACACCGAUGGAGGUAUCACGGUCUUCAAUACCGAGACUACUGGUUUUCGGUCUGGAAUUGUCAUGAGUUCUUCUAUCUGCAACUCAGUGGAAGGAAAUUCAUUUUCGAGAUGUUAGUCUCAUGAUAUCUUCAGUUGACUCAUGCAUAUACAAACUUUACUCUACUCGGUAAUUAAGAUCCAACAAACGGUUGUUGAAUGCAAAUCUCAGUUAUAGAAGUAAUAUCGCUCACUGAAACAGGCUGUUGCCAAUGCUUCUUAAUUCCUUGAAGAUGGCCUCUUCCGACAACUGCAACGACCAGCGAAUGCUCACUAGCAACUUUAUGCAACAUGGAUGCCAUGUACCUACGAUCCGGCACAGAGAUUCGUUUAAUAUGCACAAAUCAUACGAGUUUCUCAUAGUUUGGAGAGAACAAAUACUAAACUGAUCUCGCUCAUGCACCAAGGUUUCCAUAAGAGUGGGGUAUGCCUUGCUCAUUUCUCGAAUCGCAAGAGUCAACAUAUCGUCAUCUUCCAUCUCCUUGAGCUGGAAAUCAUCAAAAUAAAAUCAUACUCGUGAGAAACUAGUGACAUUUUACCAGUUAUUUUUCUCAGGACGGUGGAAAGUAUGGAAAAAAAGCAUUAGAACACUUGCCAUUCUCGUCAGCUUCACAGGACGUGGUACGAAGACUGCUCCAAAAGCUAAAGAGUAUACUAGUUUUGCCUUAUGCCGAAGUGGCAUUUUCCGCCAUGUUCUCUGCAAUGUUACCUGUUUAGGUGGGGAACAUCACCGAGGAAUGUUAGUAAAGCUGAGAAGAAACGCAGUAGCAGCCAUAAGGACACUUGAUAUAAGAUCGUAGUAAAAUUAAAUCGAACAACGUUUGGAGAAAAAAGAGGGCCAACACACGAGCUAAGUUGAUCAAUAGUAAAGAACGAAGUCGAUGUCUAACUUAUUUCUUUCAGAGCCGCCGAAAUGUCCAACGAUUAGUAUUUGCUGAAGUUACACCAGCCAUAUACCUCAAUCACAACAGCGCCAUAUUAUAAUUAUAAUCUAAGAGAAAAGGACUGCUAAACCUAUAAAGUCGAGAAGCAUUUUGACCAGGCCAUACCGAAGCAGGUAACAGUGGCGAAGUCACUCAUGCAAAUUUCGUGUAUAUGAAACGACAUAUCGGAGGUACCCCACCUGUACAGGACGAUCUCCAAGUAUCACUUUAGCACCAUAUGCUUUUGCUUCUUCUGAUGCCACACGGAACUCUGAACCCGGAAACACUUCAAGUUUGCUGGCAAUCUGAGAAUGCAACAGUGAAGUUAUGAGGCUUACUUUACAGAUUGACAAGUAGAGAGCUUGUAUGAAAUAGGGAGUAUCUUGCCUUGGCAAGAAACCAGCUAUACAGUAUUCCAAACACGUUAUGUUUCUUCUUCCACUUCUGCAACAUUUCUCCGAAAGUUGGCACCUGUCAGACUUUUAACAUAUCAGCUAACGGCAUCUCCAGAUGCAUAAACAAAACAAGCAAUGGUCACAUAUUACGUUGCAGAUGCACCAAGGUCAUAUGCAUACUAGACAUGUCGAAAACGCUCAAGCAAAAAGUGUGCUACUGAUAAGAAUAAACAGAGGGUGCAAUCAAGAACAUAAUGGAAAAGAAAAGAGGAAAGAAACAUCAGAAAAGGUUAGUUUCAGCACCGUUGAAUCCUGCCGUGUAAGCAAAUCCUUUCGAGCAGAGCACAACUCCAGAAAGACUACCUGUAGAGAAGAGAAGUUAAUCAGCUAGCUAACCCAUCAUCCAAAAAGAGUUUGUUAAAGGGAACUCACCUCCGGUUCCAAGUAACGGAUGACAGCUUCAACUUCUCUGCAAGAUUUCUGCAAAAUAAGCAGGAGAUAUCACAAGGAUGAGAUAAAUGAUACUAUCUAGCAUUUGAAAUUACAGGCAUUAGCUAAUCGGUAAAAAUGAUACUAUCUCAAUUGAAAUCCAUACAGAUUCUGCAGACUGCGAAAGUUAGCGGCAGUAUAUGGAGAAGAAUUAAAAGUUUAAAACCCUAAACCACCUCAGUCUGAUCGAAAUAAAUUUUAUGGAAAUGGAUUCUUGAGAGUUUCCCCCUCCACUUUAUCACACUGAUAACAAUUAAUAACUAUCAAGACAAUAGGAUCGUCAAGAGAAAAAUUCACCUCUGAACCGCGAAUCGUGCCAACCAAGACCACAUUGCAAGAGCCAGUUUCAGCGGUGGACUGACACGUCAGCACGACCGUUCUCGACAGCAAUGUACUUCCUCUCACCGGACUGCUACUCCCGGCGCGUGAGGAUUCCGGCGGCAAGCGAACCUUUCCUUCUGUGGAAUAAGAGUUGCAUGUUCGGGAGGUGGCGGCAUUCUGGUGUGGAAACCGAAUGAAGCGGUGGAAUAGCGGAGGGUUUUGUUUACCGCCGAGGCGUAACUUGUUAGUGACAACCGUGCCGGCGGCAGCGGAGCGGGAUAAAUGGAGCGAGUCAAACGUCGGGACAUGCCGAGUUAACCGAUUCAUAAUGGGGAGCGCUACGAGUUUUCGACUGCAAUAGAAUUCACAACUCCCUGAAAAAUUGAGUUAUUAAAAUAUAAAGGUUUGUGACAUUGUAUCAUAAUUUUUAAAAAUCGAAAAGUCUUUAUUUUAAAUUAUAAUAACUCAUAAUCUAUACACAUGACUUAGAUAAAUUAUGCAAACUUUAACUCUUCUGUAAGUUUUUAUUUGAGGGGUGUGUUAAUGAAUAAAACAAAAAAGCAAUAUGAACACUUUCCCAACAAUUCAAACUAUCGAAAUGCAAUGGCAUGAUAUAAUAGAACUGAGCCUCAACGGGUAUAUGUAUUGCGUAACAAAGAAAUAUAUAGCAUAAGAGAAAUCCAAAUUUUCAUCACAUUCGCUACUACAAGUAUGGAGAUCGAAUAUAAAAUAAAAUACACCAUAUCGGAUGUAAUUUACCAACCUGUGCCAUCGAAUGUCCUCUCCAGUGUUCGCGCCUUCAAUUUCUAGGCCUAGUUUGGUAUAGAGGAAAUUAUGAGGAUUUUGUCAAAACUCAGAGUAACAAACAAACACUUGUUUGUUUAGUUUUAAUUGGCCAGUGUUUUACGAAAACACUUUUCCUCUGACCCCACAUUUCCUCUCAAAUGUGCCUUUUUCAAAUAUAUGGUGUUGAGGAUGUUUUCUUCAAAACUCUGAGUUUUCGUAAACAAUGGAUAUAUAUUGUCAUUAUUACCCCCAACUUCCUUUACGGCUAUAACGACUAUAACANNNNNNNNNNNNNNNNNNNNNNNNNNNNNNNGGGGGGGGAUAAAAGUGAGAUAUUGGUUUGAUUAGCCAAAGCAUGUAAUAUAUUAUUGCAAUUAUGUAAUGCAUAUUUGGAAAAACUAUAUGAUUAGCCAUGACAUAUUAUAAUAUAUGGUUGUAGAUAUGUACAAAUAUUAAUUCUUCUUCCCCGAUAAAUAAAAGGAGUGGUAGGUGUCGGAUUUAUUAUCAUUUAUAUUUAGUAAGAUAUGGUAUGAGUAUGGUACAAUAUUAAUACGUUCAUAGUUUCAUACAUUGUUUCAACAUAGCAAUACGUUUAAAAUUUCGGCAACAAUUAGAAAAUUUUAAAAUUUUAAAAUUAAACGGCUCUACAAUAGUACGAGAACGGAAGUUGUAAACGCAUAUAAUACGUAUAUGUGUAUUAUACGAGUAUUAAACGAAUUUUUGCUAACUAGAAGAUGAUGAGUCUUGGUCUUUUGUCAACAGUCCACCUCCAUCCUCACCCCCAUAGUUUAACUAACGAGCGUCGACGAGAGCCUACUCUCAAUGAUGAUCAAGUUGUGAGCCAAAGCUUGGUAGUCGAAGUGAGAAAUUGGUGCUCAGUAGUUUCUAGAUGAUAACUGAAUGUAUCAGCAUUAGAUAAUAUUGUUCGAGGGAUGCUGAUGCUGUUAAGAUAUCACGAGGGGCCAUGUUGGAGUACGAGAUAUUGACAAUAAUUGGAUGCCCUACUGCUUCAUAUGGUGAGGCUCUCGCUCUUUCUGCGAUCGAUUCCCAUCCGAUGGCCUUUGCGGCAAGGCACCACAAAGAGGAUUGCACGGAGUUUGGUAAGAUUGUAAGAACUUGUUCCUACUUACUACGUCCGUUCGUCUCGUCGCUGGGGACAUUGUUCGGAGAGAGCAGAAUGAGGCACCACAAGUGUUUACUACACUAUCCGGAUUCUUUGCUUCAACAACCAUUGAUGUAGCUUCCAUCAAUUCAGACAUAAAUCAACAAUCCUAAUGAUACUUCAUCGGAUAAAAUCUUCGGCAAUGGCAUCGAAACAAACAGAACCCACCAACAACAAACAAGAAAAAUAAACAGAUGGAAACUUGCAAUGUAUUGAAAACAGGUCUACAAUAACAUGGUUCAUACGAUAUUCCACAAAAACAAAAACAUGAUUCAUAGUUCAGUGCCAUAUUAAGAAAACUAAACACAAAGCUACAAUUUCCAGAAACAAAAACAGUAAACUACGCUGAUAGGGAAAACAACUUAAAUUGCAAAUGUCGCAAAACCUUCAGUUACUUGCUAGCUAAAGAGGGAAUCUCACUUCUUGGAUUUCUUUGAUGCACUGCGAAAGAUAAAUACGAGGGAAAAUUAAAUUUCUAUAGAAGACUCCAUACUCGAAAUUGG